GGCGUGUACUGUCUGGCUGGGCCUUACCUCUAGGUGAGCCGGCGUGCCCUUUAUUGGUGUGCGUCGGGGAACCUCGACUUUUACCUUGCCAAAAUUAAAUUGUACAAAGCAAGCCUAUGCCCUAAUACAUUACCAUGGAAUAAUAAAAUAUGACGUGCGGUUCUAUUUUGUUGGUUUCUAGAUUCACCCCAAUGAUAAAGAGGGACAGUUGGGGGCAUUGGUAUUGAGUCUCUGGAGGUGAAAUUCUUGGAUUGACUCUGGACCAACAACUGCUAAAGCAUUUGCCAAGGAUGUUUUCCUUAAUCAUUAACCAAGGUUAAGGGAUCAAAAACCAUCAAAUACCGUUGUAGUCUUAACAGUAAAAUAUGCCGACUAGGGAUCGGGCGAUUUCAAAUUUAAUGGGUCGCUCGGCACCUUACGAGAAAUCAAAGUCUUUGGCUUAUGGGGGGAGUAUGGUCGCAAGGCUGAAAGUUCAAGGAAUUGACGGAAGGGCACCACCAGGUGUGGAGCAUCCGGGUUAAUUUGACUCAACCCGGGGAAACUCACCAGGUCCAGACAUAAAUAUGAUUGACAGAUUGAUAGGUGUUUCAUGAUGUCAUGGGUGGUGGUGCAUGGCCGUUUUUAGUUGGAGGAGUGAUUUGUAUGGUUAACUCCGAUAACGAACGAGACCUUAACCAGCUAAAUAGCCAGGCCGGCUUUUGCUGGUCGCAGUCUUCUUAGAGGGACUGUCGG
Molecule: ribosomal RNA, 732 nt
Filed under: uncultured eukaryote
Lineage: Eukaryota
Description: bacterial SSU rRNA
Rfam family: Eukaryotic small subunit ribosomal RNA
Source: RNAcentral